GUGGGGAAUUUUGCACAAUGGGCGAAAGCCUGAUGCAGCGACGCCGCGUGGAGGAUGAAGGCCUUCGGGUUGUAAACUCCUUUUGUAGGGGACAAUGAUGAUGGUACCCUAUGAAUAAGCCACGGCUAACUCUGUGCCAGCAGCCGCGGUAAGACAGAGGUGGCAAGCGUUGUUCGGAAUUACUGGGCUUAAAGGGCGCGUAGGCGGUGAGAUAAGUCUGAGGUGAAAUCCUAUGGCUUAACCAUAGAAUUGCCUUGGAAACUAUCUUACUUGAGUCAGUGAGGGGAUGGUGGAAUUCCCGGUGUAGCGGUGAAAUGCGUAGAUAUCGGGAGGAAGGCCUGUGGCGAAAGCGGCCAUCUGGCGCUGAACUGACGCUGAGGCGCGAAAGCGUGGGUAGCAAACAGGAUUAGAAACCCUUGUAGUCC
RNAcentral lists this ribosomal RNA (425 nucleotides) under uncultured bacterium. RNAcentral's name for it is "bacterial SSU rRNA". It matches the Rfam family "Bacterial small subunit ribosomal RNA", at positions 354 to 796 of the family's 1533-position model. The record is from RNAcentral.